Molecule: ribosomal RNA, 1347 nt
Filed under: Triticum aestivum (bread wheat)
Lineage: Eukaryota; Viridiplantae; Streptophyta; Magnoliopsida; Poales; Poaceae
Description: partial small subunit ribosomal RNA
Source: RNAcentral
AUGCGGCACCGCUCGACGGUGCCGAGAGGUCGCCAUGUUGAUGAUCUGAAGGGCACAAACAUGGCAGUGCGCAACAAGAGCAGCGAGAAGAUCAACACUGAUAGGGCGCUCAGUAAGACGGGGUUCAGGUCAGACAAGAGGUCGUGCAGGCCAGCCCUCCCUGAGAUGCCAGAUGAGCUUGUUUUGGAGAUCCUCCUCCGUCUCCCAGUGAAAUCACUCCUGAAGUUCAAGUGUGUUUGCAAGGACUGGCACGCCAUCAUCUCAGGCCCUUCCUUCAUCCGGAUGCACCUUGAGCGCUCCGUGUCCAACCAGCAGCGGCAAUCCUGCUACCUCAUCACCCCGCAUUUGUUGGAUUAUGCCAGUGAUGAUUUAUGGCCAAAUACAUUCUCAAACAACAUACGCUUCUACAGAUGGCAGCACGAGAGUUGUCAAGCCAGCGCCAGUCUAGUGUAUGCAAGGAACUUUCAAAGGGAGUUUGGAUCAGUCUACAGGUUUGCACAUUGCGACGGCCUUGUGCUGCUGCCCACGGAUAAUAAGAUGUACGUUGUCAACCCCGCCACAAGGGACCUGCUUACUUUGCCCGAGAGCCCCCGGCGUAUGCUCGAGCCAUCCUCCUUCUACCGUGGGAAUGUUGGUUUCGGUCGUGACCCUUGCACAAACAAGUACAAGGUAGUUCAGUGCUUUCGCCAUUCCACGGAUAAUGGCCUAGGGAGCUACAGCACUGGAAUGGAGGUUUUUACAAUAGGAAGCAACAUGAACAGCGGUUCUGCAGCAUGGAGGGACGCCAUGCCACCAUACCCCGUUGGUAACUGGAAAAACGCGACUUUCUUCAAGGGGUCUCUGUUCUGGAUCCUCCGCAAGCUCCGUCAGAGGGAACCCCCGGAGACCCGUCUACUUCGGUUCUGCCUGCAGGCCGAAACGUUUAGCUUCACCCCGCACCCUCCGUGCCCUGCGCUUGACCACCAGAACUUUGCCAUGAGUGCACUAGAGGGUGAACUGUGCCUUGCUCAAUAUGAAUCUUCACAACGGGUCGUGAUCUGGAUGACGAGCGAUGGCGAGGAUCCGAAAUGGAACCGGCGAUACAUCGUUGAUGUGGAGCCAUGCGUCACAAUAGCUAUCUCGCAGUCUGGACUUCAAGAGAGUGAACCAUAUGAUCUCACGGUACAACUUCCAGGAUCAGAGCGUGGAGGAUGUGGCUGGGUUGGAAGCUCUGAGGUACCAUGGACCCGGGGCGCGCACUGUGGAGUACAAGGGACCAAACAUGUUCUUCUUCGAUGUGAUUCCUUACACAGAAAGUCUCGUUCCCCUACACAAUGCAAGAUGAAGUGCGGCGCUCAAUUUAUGUAA